ACACGACUACAUUAGAUACCCCCGUAGUCCAGGGUGUAAACGCUGCGGGCUUGGUGUUGGGGGUCCUUUGAGGGCGCCCAGUGCCGGAGAGAAGUUGUUAAGCCUGCCGCCUGGGAAGUACGGUCGCAAGGCUGAAACUUAAAGGAAUUGGCGGGGAGCACCACAACGGGUGGAGCCUGCGGUUUAAUUGGACUCAACGCCGGAAAUCUCACCGGAUAGGACAGACAUAUGAUAGUCGGGCUGAAGACUCUACUUGAUGAUCUG
This 264-nucleotide ribosomal RNA is filed under the name uncultured archaeon. RNAcentral's name for it is "partial 16S ribosomal RNA". It matches the Rfam family "Archaeal small subunit ribosomal RNA", at positions 717 to 982 of the family's 1478-position model. The record is from RNAcentral.